This is a non-coding RNA of Oryzias latipes (Japanese medaka), 2432 nucleotides long. NCBI's taxonomy places the organism in Eukaryota, Metazoa, Chordata, Actinopteri, Beloniformes, Adrianichthyidae. The record is from RefSeq and is a predicted model, not a curated record.
GUAAAAACCAACUUUUUGAUAAGGGAGUAAAAAGUGUCACUGCCUUUGGAAACCUGCCCCCAGUGGUCUUUGCAGGAACUGUAAUAUUUGGUGAGCAGGAGGUCUACAUCAGGGAGUGGGCAAACUUUGGGUCUUGUGGACCACAGAGGGUUCUAAAAUUUCACAAAAGUGAAAAGCAACAUUUUCCUUAAAAUAAAUGUUUAGGAGUAUUAUACCAAUGAAAUCCUAAAGUGAGUUUUUAACGCUCUGAUCAUCCCUGUAGGUUCAAGUCUGCAGUUUUCACCUAAAUAAUUAAAAAGUCUUAAGAAAAACUAGGAUAUCUGGGUUAUUGAUACCAACACAGUAGAUGACCUCCCUGCAGCCACGGAACAACUGAAAGUAGCCAAUAACUUCCUGAUGGUGCUGGGAUCUUCUCCUCAGCAUGCAGAGGAGCUCACGUCUGAUCCCGACGGACGAGAAGGUGACGCUUCAGCAGAUCACGGCGGCAGCAAAGGACUCGCUUCGAUGCUUCCAGCAGGUGUCAUCCACCUGAGAACCAACCUGCCGCACCAAAACCCCAUUUCCACGUCUGUCAGGAGCGUGAGGAGCGCUCCAGCCUUUAAUCUAAACUUCAGCGCACGUUUCUGCAGCACAAAUCUGAUGUCGCAUCUGCAGGUGAAGAGCGCACGAGAUGGGAACCAAAGAAACCAGAUGCUGGAAUAAUCCUGGAGAGAUGAUGAUGAAGAGGAGGAUGAGGAGGACCAUCAGAAGUUGCUGUCAGAGCAGAAAUGACUCUCCAGAUGUUGACAUCAGAUUGCAGAACCCCUGCAGAGGCGUCCGAACAACUGGAUGGCUUCGACUAAGGGGGCACGAGGCAAAAAAGGGCGCAGCACCUAAAGCAGAGGGCGCGCGACUGCCAUUAACAGACCCCCCCUCCCCGCCCCAAGAAAAAAUGCGUUUGAGAUUAUUUUUUUCUUGAAAGCGUCCGCACCCCCCAGGAGCGAACUCUCCUCCAAAGCCGGAGUUCUCACUCCUCUGCACCGCCUGCAGACACGAGACCAGCCGUGGAGGACAAGUUUGGCUUAUCACCGCUUACCUCCAUGCGCGCGCGGGCCAGCGGGGAGGGUUUUUUUUGGAGGGGGGUACAUGUCGCAUCCCUACUGCUCCUCGUCUCGUGCUGAAUCGCAGUCUCUCGCCCCCCGUGAUCCUCUUUCUUUUCUUCUCCUCCCCACCAGCGAGCCUUUACGCAGCCUCACCAAAACAAAUCCCGCGUGCGUUUCGCCGCGUGUCCCCCCAGCAGCACGCGGCGUCGAAGCUGGCGCGCGGCUCUCCGGCUCGCUAACAAGUUGUCAGCCUGCCCCCUGCUGGAGGUUCCUGUCAUAGUUUUCCAUGCAGAUGUGGACGCGCUGGGUGAAGUAGCUGCGGUCAGAAAUGGCUCGGAGGAGGUCGUUCUGGAUCAGCGCGAUGUCGAACAGCUCAGAGGUGCAGGCCGUGCGGGUUUCAGAACCGCCAGGGUCCAAGAAGACCUGCGGAACGAACACGGGACGGAAUUACAGGACCUCAAACUCGGAUGUUUCCAGCAUCUCCUCGGGUUUCUCCUGACGAAGAAAGACCAGCAGGGCGGCGCUCACUCCAAAGAAAAUGCUGAGGCAUUUAUGGCAUUUGUCUCACAAAAGAGGACAUAUAUGCCAUAUAUAUGUCAUUUGUCAUACAUGUAUGACGAAAAGAAACGUUUCUGAGUAUAUCUUUAUUCAAAUUGUCAACACUCUGAUGAACUCCUGCCGCUCUGCAGAAACUAUGUCCUGGAAAAGACACCGUUUUUUUUUUUUUGUGGCUAAAAACAGCAGCAUCAUCAUUAUAAUUAGAAGAUGCUUUAAAAAUAGAUCAGAUGAAGAUCUGGAGUGAGACUUGAAUCAAAUGAGUCUGAGCUGCUGAUAAAUGUUUUUAGUCAAACAGAUUCCACCAGGGCCACGGUGGGGCUCUGUGUCUUGCCCAAGGCCGGGCGAGGCAGGAAUCGAACCUGCAAUAUUCCGAUCAGGGGCCGACCGCCCUACCACUGUACCGCCGCCCUCAAUGCUCCUGUGGUUGGUGUCGGGUGAGAUGAUUCCUCACCUUCAGCUCGGGCAGGUCAGGGAAGAGCGGGUGAAGCCCCUCCUGCAGCACCCGGGACAUGGCUCUCAGGACGCGCGGGAGGUCGGUUCCAAACGUGCGGAAGACGACGGCGAAGUCCAGGCCUUCCUGCGUCAGGUCUUUGAGCAGCUGGAAGAAGGACGGCAGGAUCCAGUGGUAGAGACACCCGUCUUCACCUCGGAUCGACAGCUCCUUGUCCUUCUGUGGACGGCCGGAAUCUCCAGGAGUGGAGAUCCCACGUUCCUCACUCAGACGCUGUGGCGAGCGGCUCACCUUCAUCCCUUCUGGCCAGCGGAGCAUCUGCAGAUGUUCAUCCAACGCCC